UUGUCUUGUAGACCUCCUGGCCUAAAAUUUAAGGCACAGAAGAAAACAGCAUCAGAUUAUGCAACAGAGAAGGAAACAAAAUUGGAGAUUUUCUUUUGUAUUAGCCUCAUGCGAUUUCCAGGCUUUACACUAGAAAUGUACUAUAUUAUUGUACAGGAAGUUUUUUUUUUUCAGUUGUCCAAAAACAAGGAUCAGCACGUUGUCCCUUGGAGUCCUCCAGGUAAAUGCCUCUUUGCUUCUUUAGACGUGCAAAACAAAGAGAGUAAUCUACUGAAGGGAGGCUACCAUAACAAAAAGAAGCAGAAUUUUAUUUGGUUCUAAAUGUUGUGUAUUAUGUACCUUAUGAUUGUAUAAGGGAUUCC
This 362-nucleotide unclassified non-coding RNA is filed under the name Zea mays. RNAcentral's name for it is "misc RNA Zm00001eb062780". The record is from RNAcentral. Lineage: Eukaryota; Viridiplantae; Streptophyta; Magnoliopsida; Poales; Poaceae.